AAAGUCGUAACAAGGUCUCCGUUGGUGAACCAGCGGAGGGAUCAUUACAAAAGCUUACGCUCAAACCCUUUGUGAACCUACCAAUCGUUGCUCGGCGCUCGGCGGACCGGGGCGGCCCCACUAUACCGGGGCCGCCCCCGCCCGGCGGCGUCAGAGGACCCACACUCUAUUUUUACAGCGUACCAACUCUGAUUCAUAAGACAAACAGUUAAAACUUUCAACAACGGAUCUCUUGGUUCUG
RNAcentral lists this unclassified non-coding RNA (241 nucleotides) under Ascomycota sp. RNAcentral's name for it is "partial contains small subunit ribosomal RNA, internal transcribed spacer 1, and 5.8S ribosomal RNA". The stretch from base 1 to 47 matches the Rfam family "Eukaryotic small subunit ribosomal RNA", at positions 1785 to 1831 of the family's 1831-position model. Lineage: Eukaryota; Fungi; Ascomycota. The record is from RNAcentral.